CAGGUGGUAGGUGAUAGUGUCCUUUGAUAAUGGCAUCUUGUUCAUCAGCUGUGUAUCUUAUUCAUCAGCUGUGUUUCAGGGUGCCCCCCUACCUUUGAGUCUAAAACAAGGGCAGCUUUACACAAUUACUGCCUAGCCUUUCAAGGUCCCUGUUUCACUUCUGGUUUCAGUGAGACCCAUCAAGGAUGAUAAUUCCAGAUUAACCACUUAGCCACUGUGGGUUACCAUUGUAGGGCAUCUAGUCCAGUGAAAUAGCUUUACAACCAGGUUUGGAGAAAAUUAUUGUUUUCCAGUGCUUUCCCUAUCAAGUGAAAAAGGAUGUGGCACCCAGAUCUCUGUCUCAGAAACUUAUCGUAGCAAAUUAACAUCCAAGGUAUACUACAGAUUUAAAUUAAAAAAUUUAGAGCUAUAUUGGACACAAGCCUCUAGCAAUUAAAGAUUUACCUGAUGACUGUAACAGUAAGUUAUCCUUAUAUUCCCAGAUUAUUUUGUUCUUUUCGAUUCUU
RNAcentral lists this long non-coding RNA (506 nucleotides) under Bos taurus (domestic cattle). RNAcentral's name for it is "long non-coding RNA NONBTAT011825". The record is from RNAcentral. Lineage: Eukaryota; Metazoa; Chordata; Mammalia; Artiodactyla; Bovidae.